Molecule: long non-coding RNA, 907 nt
Filed under: Panax ginseng (ginseng)
Lineage: Eukaryota; Viridiplantae; Streptophyta; Magnoliopsida; Apiales; Araliaceae
Description: long non-coding RNA (PGIN_LNC006721)
Source: RNAcentral
GGGAUCUAACAACAAAAACAAAUUCAAAUUCAAAAUAAUAACAGUCACAACUAUUCUCUAAAACCCAAAAACUACAACUAUUUUGUAACAACAGUCGACAGCGCUGGAAGAUUACAAGGUCGCCACGACCACCAGUUCUUAAAACAACCACAUCGCUUCAGUUUUUUCUUCGUCCUCUACCGAUUUGCCAUUAUCAUUUUCUCUCUCUUCCUCCUCCUCUAGUAUCUUCUCUGCUCCGACCUCAUUUCUCUACUACAACCAUGUCCACGUUUAUACCAAGGUAACCAAUAAAAAAUAGAACACUGCAUAGGGAAGAGAGAGAUAGGAGACUGAUGUGAAAUGUAAUAUUGAUAACCAAACCUUCGUACCAAGGUAACCAAACAUUUAUACCAAGGUAACCAAAUCUACCUUCACACAUACAGUAUGAAUUUGUUACCUUGGUCUAAAAGUUUGGCAACCAAUUUCAUGAAGGUAAAUAAAAAAUAGAACACUGCAUAGGAAAGAGAGAGAUAAGAGAGUGAUGUGUAAUGUAAUAUUGAUAACCAAACCUUCGUACCAAGGUAACCAAACAUUUAUACCAAGGUAACCAAACCUUUAUACCAAGGUAACCUUUUUUUUAUGAAUAUUUGGUUACCCACAAAAACUAAAAUGGUUACCUUUGUAUGAAGGUUUGGCUACCAACUGCACCAUAUUCAAAAUAAUUUUAUCUUUAAAAGGUUAUUAUGAAUAUGUUGUCGUUGGUAGCCAAACCUUCGUACAAAGGUAACAAUUUUAAUUUUUGUGGAUAACCAAAUAUUCAUAAAAAAUAAAUUGCAAAGCCAUAAAUUGCAAUAGAAAACAUAAUAUGACAAGCCCUUACCUGGGCACAACUCUAAUCAAUGUUCUAAAAGAGGCAGCGUGAAUUUGA